This 1012-nucleotide ribosomal RNA is filed under the name Hyaloperonospora parasitica. RNAcentral's name for it is "LSU rRNA". It matches the Rfam family "Eukaryotic large subunit ribosomal RNA", at positions 49 to 852 of the family's 3401-position model. Lineage: Eukaryota; Oomycota; Peronosporomycetes; Peronosporales; Peronosporaceae. The record is from RNAcentral.
AGCGGAGGAAAAGAAACUAACAAGGAUUCCCCUAGUAACGGCGAGUGAAGCGGGAUGAGCUCAAGCUUAAAAUCUCUGUCACAAAUUUAUUUUGUGCGGCGAAUUGUAGUCUAUAGAGGCGUGAUCAGUGUAGGCGCUUGAGGUAAGUUCCUUGAAAAAGGACAGCAUGGAGGGUGAAACUCCCGUUCAUACUUAAGUGGCUUGCACGUACGAUUCGUUUUCUUUGAGUCGCGUUGUUUGAGAAUGCAGCGCAAAGUAGGUGGUAAAUUCCAUCUAAAGCUAAAUAUUGGUGCGAGACCGAUAGCGAACAAGUACCGUGAGGGAAAGAUGAAAAGAACUCUGAAAAGAGAGUUAAAGAGUACCUGAAACUGCUGAAAGGGAACCAAAUCGUUUCUAGUGUCUAUAAUCUAUGACAUAUUUCAUUGGGAAGUGUGUGCGUGUGUAUACUAUGGCAGCGGCUUUUUUUAGUUGCGCUUGGUGUGCGUGCUGUAUGUACUAACUGAUGCCCUGUGUUAUAGUGGGACGUCAAGGUCAGUUUGUAUACUGCGGGAAAUGGCUACUGAGGAGGUAGGGCUUACGCUUGCGUUUGUCUAUUAUAUCUUGGUAGUUGUGUCGUGGUUGAGACUGAGGUGUUCUACAACGUGCUUAUGAGUGGGUCUACGUCUCCGUGUGCGCCGUGUGCAGAUAGCUUGCUAUGUGUAUGUGGUGGUGUGUGGAUUGAUAUGGGCUUUAUCUUACUGCCGUUCGGGACUUUGACGAAAUAGAGCGAUUUGACCCGUCUUGAAACACGGACCAAGGAGUCUAACAUAUGUGCAAGUGUUAGGGUGUGGAAACCCCAGCGCGAAAUGAAAGUAAAGGAUAGUGUAAACUAUCUUAGGUAGGAAACGUUAUGAACUUCGGUUUGUGGCGUGGCACUAUCGACCGAUCAUGAACCCUCGUGGUGAAAGAUUUGAGUUUGAGCACAUAUGUUGGUACCCGAAAGAUGGUGAACUAUGCCUGAGUAGGGUGAAGC